CCUACGGGAGACAGCAGUGAGGAAUAUUGGUCAAUGGACGAGAGUCUGAACCAGCCAAGUAGCGUGAAGGAUGACUGCCCUAUGGGUUGUAAACUUCUUUUAUAUGGGAAUAAAACGUUCCACGUGUGGGAUUUUGUAUGUACCAUAUGAAUAAGGAUCGGCUAACUCCGUGCCAGCAGCCGCGGUAAUACGGAGGAUCCGAGCGUUAUCCGGAUUUAUUGGGUUUAAAGGGAGCGUAGGUGGAUUGUUAAGUCAGUUGUGAAAGUUUGCGGCUCAACCGUAAAAUUGCAGUUGAAACUGGCAGUCUUGAGUACAGUAGAGGUGGGCGGAAUGCGUGGUGUAGCGGUGAAAUGCUUAGAUAUCACGAAGAACUCCGAUUGCGAAGGCAGUUCACUGGACUGCAACUGACACUGAGGCUCGAAAGUGUGGGUAUCAAACAGGAUUAGAUACCCUUGUAGUC
This 460-nucleotide ribosomal RNA is filed under the name uncultured bacterium. Its description in RNAcentral is "partial 16S ribosomal RNA". It matches the Rfam family "Bacterial small subunit ribosomal RNA", at positions 338 to 795 of the family's 1533-position model. The record is from RNAcentral.